This 273-nucleotide long non-coding RNA is filed under the name Mytilus galloprovincialis (Mediterranean mussel). The record is from RNAcentral. Lineage: Eukaryota; Metazoa; Mollusca; Bivalvia; Mytilida; Mytilidae.
GUUUGUAGAUCUUACUUUACUGAACAUUCUUGUUGCUACAAAUAUCUCUAUAAUGUACUUGGCCCAGUAAUUACAGUGGAAAAUAUUUUCUACAAAUUUACAAAAAUUUAUGAAAAAUGUUAAAAAUUAACUAUAAAGGGCAAUAACUCCUUAAGGGGUCAAUUGACUAUUUUGGUCAUUGAAACUUAUUUGUAGAUCUUAUUUUGCUGAACGUUAUUGCUGUAUACAGUUUAUCUCUAUCUAUAAUAAUAUUCAAGAUAAUAACCAAAAACA